AACGAACGCUGGCGGCAUGCCUAACACAUGCAAGUCGAACGAGACCUUCGGGUCUAGUGGCGCACGGGUGCGUAACGCGUGGGAACCUGCCCUUAGGUUCGGAAUAACUCCCCGAAAGGGGUGCUAAUACCGGAUAAUGUCUUCGGACCAAAGAUUUAUCGCCUUUGGAUGGGCCCGCGUUGGAUUAGCUAGUUGGUAGGGUAAAAGCCUACCAAGGCGACGAUCCAUAGCUGGUCUGAGAGGAUGAUCAGCCACACUGGGACUGAGACACGGCCCAGACUCCUACGGGAGGCAGCAGUGGGGAAUAUUGGACGAUGGGCGAAAGCCUGAUCCAUCAAUGCCGCGUGAGUGAUGAAGGCCUUAGGGUUGUAAAGCUCUUUUACCCGGGAUGAUAAUGACAGUACCGGGAGAAUAAGCUCCGGCUAACUCCGUG
RNAcentral lists this ribosomal RNA (433 nucleotides) under uncultured bacterium. RNAcentral describes it as "partial 16S ribosomal RNA". It matches the Rfam family "Bacterial small subunit ribosomal RNA", at positions 29 to 507 of the family's 1533-position model. The record is from RNAcentral.